RNAcentral lists this long non-coding RNA (477 nucleotides) under Nicotiana tabacum (common tobacco). Its description in RNAcentral is "long non-coding RNA (NTAB_LNC012834)". Lineage: Eukaryota; Viridiplantae; Streptophyta; Magnoliopsida; Solanales; Solanaceae. The record is from RNAcentral.
AUACUUUUAAGUUCUAGGUCGCCCACCAGUAUAAUGCGGGAAUACUUUUAAGUUCUAGGUCGCCCACCAGUAUAAUGCGGGAAUACUUUUCAGUUCUAGGUCGCCCACCAGUAUAAUGCGGGAAUACAUUUAAGUUGUAGGUCGCCCACCAGUAUAAUGCGGGAAUACUUUUAUGUUCGAGAUUUUGGAAUCAGUAACCCCACCUGAAGACGGAAGGUUACAACAGAGAGCCCCAAGCAGGAAAAAAAUAAAAUCCCCCAGCGCUAAGAAGCAGAAGGCUGCAAAAGCAAGCGCACAUUCAAAAGGAAGAAGGAACACGUCUCAGAAGAAGCAGUUUGAGAACGCUAUGGCAUGCCCAACAUAACAAUUCUGAUGAAAAGCCAUACCACUGAAGAAACCAUUGAAAGAUCUAAGGAGGAAAGCCAUGUUCCCAGCAAAUCAAGCAGAGUGAUGAGAACUGACAUUCAGAAAAGGUGA